Molecule: long non-coding RNA, 2343 nt
Organism: Papio anubis (olive baboon)
Lineage: Eukaryota; Metazoa; Chordata; Mammalia; Primates; Cercopithecidae
Source: Ensembl
UUUGUUGUUGUUGAUUUCCUUUCCUUUUAGGGAAUUUCUUUUAGGUACUCUUUAAAGAUACAACAAAUUUUCUUAGUUUUCCUUUGUUUGAUAAAUACCUAUUCUUUUCACUCCCUGGAGGAAUUUUGCCACAUAUUGAAUCUACAGUUGACAGUUAUUUUCCCUCAAUAGUUUAAAAAAUAGUCACUCCCUUCUGCGUCCUAUGGUUUCAGGUGAAAGCUCAGCUGACUUGAAUUGGUGUUGCCUCAUGAGCAACAUUGAUUUCUCUCCAGCUGCUUUCAAAAUUUAUUCAGUCUUUGGUUUUUUGACGUUUAAUUAUGAUGUGAUUGGCACGAACUUCUUCGGGUUUACGAUUAUUGAGGUUUGUUUAGCUUGUUAAAUCUGCAGCUGUAUGUCUUUUGCCACAUCUGGAAAGUUUUCAGCUAUUAUUUCUCUGAAUGCUUUUCUGAUGACUCUUGUGCCCUGUGACGUAAGGGGAGGACCGGGAAAGGAAAGUCCUUCCCGGCCACACCAUCUCUGCAGUGAGGUGCGCUCCAGCUUCUGUGAAAGGGGCUCCCGCUAAAGGGGCUCCCACCGCAGCCCUCGCAGUGCUGUCCAGUCAAGUGGGGCGUUUCCAGCCGGCUCUGCCCUAGGACACAGCCCGGUCAGGAGAGGGGAGUCACACCGCUUAUUUUACCGAGAAAACGUCAUGUGAAGAAUGUAGCCGAGAGGCUAAAGAGAGAACUCUGGGUCGCCAUGAGGUACCCACUGUGGGCUGCGGCCGCGCGCCUAGCAGGGGGCACGAAGGGCAGGGCUUGGAGCUCUUAGGCCUCAGAAGGCCGCGGGAAGGCCGGUGCACCUCCAGCGUGGGACCUAACGGCUGCUGCGCGGGGCAUCGGCGGGGGCCGACGUCACAAAGAGGUCGCUCCCGUCACGCCAACGCCUCAAAGAGGUUGCUCCCUUCACGCCCACCUCACAAAGGGGUCGCUUCCGCACGUGCAAGACUCAGCGGCAAGGGCGUGCGACGCGCAGGCGCCGGGAAGCCCAUGGGGCGGAAACUGGAGCGAGCCCGCCCUCCUCCAGCCCCGCGGCCUCCCUUUCGCGCCCCCUAUCGGCAGGGCCAGUGGGGCAGCAGAAGCGUGGCUCGCAGGGCCCAGCCCCAGCCACAUGCACCGAGCUGAGCGCGCGCUGGCCUGUGUGGAGCCCAGGCAAGAACGGAGUAACUGGUACAGAGGAGGCUUUGCGUUUUCAGGAAUGCAGUGUCCCGUCUCCAGGAGCUCUGCAGAGUCUCAUCCAUCUCUGGGGAAGGAAGACACCCGGCUGCAAUCACGAACCCCGCACCCGUCCAGGUCUCAGCUCGUGCCGUCACCCCUGAGGCUGGAACAGUCUCUGAAGAGGGGCUGCACAGUUCCACGGGGGAAACUGUGAAGGAAAACAUAGGCCUGGCCUGUCAGCGGGGGAGUCCCAGAAAACUCUCUGGUCAGUCGGCGCUUGAAGAUAAAACUCAGCCAUAGAAGGGUAAGCUUUCAUAAAGUGGAAAGAAACAUCUGUAGCCAGAGACGGAUAUAAGAAUAGCAUAGACAGCACAGGGAACAAAGCGAGACCCCGUUUCUACAAAAAAUACAAAAAUUAGUCGUACGCUGUGGUGCACGCCUGUGUUCCCAGCUGCUCGGGAGGCUGAAGUGGGAGGAUCCCUUGAACCUGGAGGUUGAGGCUGCAGUGAGCUACAGUCAGGCUACUGCACUCCAGCCUCGGUGACAGUGCAAGACCGUGUCAUUAAAAUGACUUGAGGAGGAGGAAAGGAUCUAUUCAGGGCCAGCAAUGUCUACUUUAAAACACUAUUGUGAGGAUAGAGUCUGAAAUUUUAAAUUAAAAAUGAGCACAGACGUGGACAAGCACUCAAUAAACAAACAGAACCUUUAUGUAUGUAGUCUAAGAGGGGGUCAGGGAGUCCAUUUACUGCGGCGUUAGCCUGAGGUUGAAAAGUGGGCUCAAAUAUUUUAAUAUUCUAGAAUGUUUGUUUGCUUGAGUAAAAAUCAGAAGGGGUAAUUAUGGGAUGACGGUGAUAGUCUAAGUGUAAUUUUUAAAAUCUCUUCAGGUCCUCCAUACAAAUAGGUAGAGCAAAAUGGACAACAUCUGCAAUAAAACUAGGUAACAAGUUUUAUCCACAAGCCUCAAGAUGAAAGCCAUUGGGGACAAAUCCCUUAUAGCUGGGUCCAUGUGGCACCAGCAUCUGAAAGGAGUGAGCUGAGGGAAGCAACGCAAUAUCUUAUGAAUCUGAGAGCAGAAGACUCAAAGCACUCCUGGAUAAUUCCUGGAGAGUAGUGGGCUUAUUUGUAAACAGCAGAUGAAAUAGGGAAAACA